This 73-nucleotide transfer RNA is filed under the name Stegodyphus mimosarum. It matches the Rfam family "tRNA". From Rfam's summary of the family: Transfer RNA (tRNA) molecules are approximately 80 nucleotides in length. Their secondary structure includes four short double-helical elements and three loops (D, anti-codon, and T loops). Lineage: Eukaryota; Metazoa; Arthropoda; Arachnida; Araneae; Eresidae. The record is from Rfam by way of RNAcentral.
GCUUUCGUGGUGUAGUGGUCAGCAUACUCGAUGCGUAUUCGAGAGGUCCGUAGUUCGAAUCCCGGCGACAGCG